AGAAUACGGAACGUCAUUUGAUAUUGAUUCAGCAUUUAUGGAAAUGGCAAACCAUUUGAACGAAGGAUUACAAAAUAUCACAGACUAUAUGAAAAAUGAAACAAAGGAAAUCGAAAAAUAUAUGAACAAAAAGUUAAAAG
Molecule: long non-coding RNA, 140 nt
Organism: Gordionus sp. m RMFG-2023
Lineage: Eukaryota; Metazoa; Nematomorpha; Gordioida; Chordodea; Parachordodidae
Exons: 4
Source: RefSeq, a predicted model, not a curated record